This 773-nucleotide ribosomal RNA is filed under the name uncultured Neocallimastigales. RNAcentral's name for it is "partial large subunit ribosomal RNA". It matches the Rfam family "Eukaryotic large subunit ribosomal RNA", at positions 23 to 616 of the family's 3401-position model. The record is from RNAcentral. Lineage: Eukaryota; Fungi; Neocallimastigomycota; Neocallimastigomycetes; Neocallimastigales.
AGAGAGAGACAUGCGCGCAUAUCAAUAAGCGGAGGAAAAGAAACUAACAAGGAUUCCCCUAGUAACGGCGAGUGAAGCGGGAAGAGCUCAAAUUUGAAAUCUUAAAGGGUCUCCCUUUACGAAUUGUAGUUUAAAGAAGUGUUUUCUGUUGAGGUUUUGGUAAAUGUUCUUUGGAAUAGGACAUCAUAGAGGGUGAGAAUCCCGUAUUUGACCUUUACUUUCAACUUUGUGAUACACUUUCAAAGAGUCGGAUUGUUUGGGAAUGCAGUCCAAAAUGGGUGGUAAAUUUCAUCUAAAGCUAAAUAUUGGCGAGAGACCGAUAGCGAACAAGUACCGUGAGGGAAAGAUGAAAAGAACUUUGAAAAGAGAGUUAAACAGUACGUGAAAUUGUCAAAAGGGAAGCGUUUGACACCAGUGUUGUUUUCUGAAGAUCAAUUAAAGAACUGUUUAUGCUAAGUUGUUUAGACUUUAUCAGCUAACUGUUUAGUUUUGAGCUUUUCUUUAAUGCACUUUUCAGUUAACAAGUCAACAUCAAUUUCUUUUGCUGUAAAAAAGCUUGAGGAAGGUGGCUUGAGAUUCGUCUUAAGUGUUUAUAGCCUCUUGCCUAUGCAGUCGGAGAGAUUGAGGUCUGCAGCGUAGAUCCUUCGGGGCUAAAUGCAUUUGUGCUAAGUUAUAGCAUUUUAUAGACAACUUGUUGACUAUGAUUUGUCUUGUAGCUUACUCGCUUAUGUUAUUUUACCUACGCUUAGGAUGUUGAGCGCAUGUCUCUCUCU